CCUACGGGAGGCAGCAGUGAGGAAUAUUGGUCAAUGGACGAGAGUCUGAACCAGCCAAGUAGCGUGAAGGAUGACUGCCCUAUGGGUUGUAAACUUCUUUUAUAUGGGAAUAAAAUGUUCCACGUGUGGGAUUUUGUAUGUACCAUAUGAAUAAGGAUCGGCUAACUCCGUGCCAGCAGCCGCGGUAAUACGGAGGAUCCGAGCGUUAUCCGGAUUUAUUGGGUUUAAAGGGAGCGUAGGUGGAUGGUUAAGUCAGUUGUGAAAGUUUGCGGCUCAACCGUAAAAUUGCAGUUGAAACUGUCAGUCUUGAGUACAGUAGAGGUGGGCGGAAUUCGUGGUGUAGCGGUGAAAUGCUUAGAUAUCACGAAGAACUCCGAUUGCGAAGGCAGUUCACUGGACUGCAACUGACACUGAGGCUCGAAAGUGUGGGUAUCAAACAGGAUUAGAUACCCCGGUAGUC
Molecule: ribosomal RNA, 460 nt
Filed under: uncultured bacterium
Lineage: Bacteria
Description: partial 16S ribosomal RNA
Rfam family: Bacterial small subunit ribosomal RNA
Source: RNAcentral